RNAcentral lists this ribosomal RNA (1306 nucleotides) under uncultured bacterium. RNAcentral describes it as "bacterial SSU rRNA". It matches the Rfam family "Bacterial small subunit ribosomal RNA", at positions 77 to 1381 of the family's 1533-position model. The record is from RNAcentral.
CGUUAAUGGGCGUCGAGCGGCGGACGGGUGAGUAAUGCCUAGGAAAUUGCCUUGAUGUGGGGGAUAACCAUUGGAAACGAUGGCUAAUACCGCAUAAUGCCUACGGGCCAAAGAGGGGGAUCUUCGGACCUCUCGCGUCAAGAUAUGCCUAGGUGGGAUUAGCUAGUUGGUGAGGUAAUGGCUCACCAAGGCGACGAUCCCUAGCUGGUCUGAGAGGAUGAUCAGCCACACUGGAGCUGAGACACGGUCCAGACUCCUACGGGAGGCAGCAGUGGGGAAUAUUGCACAAUGGGCGAAAGCCUGAUGCAGCCAUGCCGCGUGUAUGAAGAAGGCCUUCGGGUUGUAAAGUACUUUCAGUUGUGAGGAAGGGUGUGUAGUUAAUAGCUGCGCAUCUUGACGUUAACAACAGAAGAAGCACCGGCUAACUCCGUGCCAGCAGCCGCGGUAAUACGGAGGGUGCGAGCGUUAAUCGGAAUUACUGGGCGUAAAGCGCAUGCAGGUGGUUUAUUAAGUCAGAUGUGAAAGCCCGGGGCUCAACCUCGGAACUGCAUUUGAAACUGGUGAACUAGAGUGCUGUAGAGGGGGGUAGAAUUUCAGGUGUAGCGGUGAAAUGCGUAGAGAUCUGAAGGAAUACCAGUGGCGAAGGCGGCCCCCUGGACAGACACUGACACUCAGAUGCGAAAGCGUGGGGAGCAAACAGGAUUAGAUACCCUGGUAGUCCACGCCGUAAACGAUGUCUACUUGGAGGUUGUGGCCUUGAGCCGUGGCUUUCGGAGCUAACGCGUUAAGUAGACCGCCUGGGGAGUACGGUCGCAAGAUUAAAACUCAAAUGAAUUGACGGGGGCCCGCACAAGCGGUGGAGCAUGUGGUUUAAUUCGAUGCAACGCGAAGAACCUUACCUACUCUUGACAUCCAGAGAAGCCAGUGGAGACACAGGUGUGCCUUCGGGAACUCUGAGACAGGUGCUGCAUGGCUGUCGUCAGCUCGUGUUGUGAAAUGUUGGGUUAAGUCCCGCAACGAGCGCAACCCUUAUCCUUGUUUGCCAGCGAGUAAUGUCGGGAACUCCAGGGAGACUGCCGGUGAUAAACCGGAGGAAGGUGGGGACGACGUCAAGUCAUCAUGGCCCUUACGAGUAGGGCUACACACGUGCUACAAUGGCGCAUACAGAGGGCAGCAAGCUAGCGAUAGUGAGCGAAUCCCAAAAAGUGCGUCGUAGUCCGGAUUGGAGUCUGCAACUCGACUCCAUGAAGUCGGAAUCGCUAGUAAUCGUGAAUCAGAAUGUCACGGUGAAUACGUUCCCGGGCCU